AACGCACAUUGCGCCCCUUGGUAUUCCAUGGGGCAUGCCUGUUCGAGCGUCAUUUGUUCCCUCAAGCUAUGCUUGGUGUUGGGUGUUUGUCCUCUCCCUUUGCGUUUGGACUCGCCUUAAAGAAAUUGGCAGCCAGUGUAUUGGUAUAGAAGCGCAGCACAAUUUGCGAUUCUAGCUAAUAAUUACUUGCAACCAUCAAGUCUAUUUAACACUUUUGACCUCGGAUCAGGUAGGGAUACCCGCUGAACUUAA
This 252-nucleotide unclassified non-coding RNA is filed under the name uncultured fungus. Its description in RNAcentral is "partial contains 5.8S ribosomal RNA, internal transcribed spacer 2, and large subunit ribosomal RNA". Lineage: Eukaryota; Fungi. The record is from RNAcentral. RNAcentral also lists the same sequence under 1 other name.